This 343-nucleotide ribosomal RNA is filed under the name Anopheles jeyporiensis. RNAcentral describes it as "eukaryotic LSU rRNA". It matches the Rfam family "Eukaryotic large subunit ribosomal RNA", at positions 675 to 966 of the family's 3401-position model. The record is from RNAcentral. Lineage: Eukaryota; Metazoa; Arthropoda; Insecta; Diptera; Culicidae.
GGCGCCAUGGGUUCUUGGCGGUCCUACCCGGGCCGCUGGAUACACUUAACCCACAGGCGAAGAUAACUCGAGUUGUUGCGGGAUUACGGGUUCGGCCGAUGGCGCAAGCCUUCGUCGGGCCCCUCCAUCCCAGGGUGUCCCGGGACGGGUGCUUGCACCCAGCGGGCAUCCCCAGAGUGCGUAGGAUGUGACCCGAAAGAUGGUGAACUAUGCCUGAUCAGGUCGAAGUCAGGGGAAACCCUGAUGGAGGACCGAAGCAAUUCUGACGUGCAAAUCGAUUGUCAGAGUUGGGCAUAGGGGCGAAAGACCAAUCGAACCAUCUAGUAGCUGGUUCCUUCCGAAA